This 497-nucleotide ribosomal RNA is filed under the name uncultured bacterium. RNAcentral's name for it is "partial 16S ribosomal RNA". It matches the Rfam family "Bacterial small subunit ribosomal RNA", at positions 28 to 507 of the family's 1533-position model. The record is from RNAcentral.
GACGAACGCUGGCGGCGUGCCUAAUACAUGCAAGUUGAGCGCUGAAGGUUGGUACUUGUACCAACUGGAUGAGCAGCGAACGGGUGAGUAACGCGUGGGGAAUCUGCCUUUGAGCGGGGGACAACAUUUGGAAACGAAUGCUAAUACCGCAUAAAAACUUUAAACACAAGUUUUAAGUUUGAAAGAUGCAAUUGCAUCACUCAAAGAUGAUCCCGCGUUGUAUUAGCUAGUUGGUGAGGUAAAGGCUCACCAAGGCGAUGAUACAUAGCCGACCUGAGAGGGUGAUCGGCCACAUUGGGACUGGGACACGGCCCAAACUCCUACGGGAGGCAGCAGUAGGGCAUCUUCGGCAAUGGACGAAAGUCUGACCGAGCAACGCCGCGUGAGUGAAGAAGGUUCUCGGAUCGUAAAACUCUGUUGGUAGAGAAGAACGUUGGUGAGAGUGGAAAGCUCAUCAAGUGACGGUAACUACCCAGAAAGGGACGGCUAACUACGUG